CCCUUAGAUGUCCUGGGCCGCACGCGCGCUACACUGACGGAGGCAGCGAGCUUACCCCUUUGCCGAAAGGCAUGGGAAAUCUUUUGAAUCUCCGUCGUGCUGGGGAUAGAUCAUUGCAAUUAUUGAUCUUGAACGAGGAAUUCCUAGUAAGCGCAAGUCAUCAACUUGCGUUGAUUACGUCCCUGCCCUUUGUACACACCGCCCGUCGCUACUACCGAUUGAAUGGUUUAGUGAGAUCUUCGGAUUGGCGCCACUGCGGCUCAGCAAUGGGCUCGGUGGAUGCCGAAAAGUUGAUCAAACUUGAUCAUUUAGAGGAAGUAAAAGUCGUAACA
This 332-nucleotide ribosomal RNA is filed under the name uncultured eukaryote. RNAcentral's name for it is "partial 18S ribosomal RNA". It matches the Rfam family "Eukaryotic small subunit ribosomal RNA", at positions 1470 to 1796 of the family's 1831-position model. The record is from RNAcentral.